This 445-nucleotide ribosomal RNA is filed under the name uncultured bacterium. RNAcentral describes it as "SSU rRNA". It matches the Rfam family "Bacterial small subunit ribosomal RNA", at positions 26 to 518 of the family's 1533-position model. The record is from RNAcentral.
AGAGCGAACGCUGGCGGCAGGCCUAACACAUGCAAGUCGAGCGGCCGUAGCAAUACGGCAGCGGCAGACGGGAUAGUAACACGUGGGAACGCGCCCUUCGGUUCGGAAUAACUCAGGGAAACUUGAGCUAAUACCGGAUACGCCCUUACGGGGAAAGAUUUAUUGUCGAAGGAACGGCCCGCGUCCGAUUAGCUAGUUGGUGAGGUAAUGGCUCACCAAGGCUCCGAUCGGUAGCUGGUCUGAGAGGAUGACCAGCAUCACUGGGACUGAGACACGGCCCAGACUCCUACGGGAGGCAGCAGUGGGGAAUAUUGGACAAUGGGCGCAAGCCUGAUCCAGCCAUGCCGCGUGGAUGAUGAAGGCCUUAGGGUUGUAAAGUCCUUUAACGGGGAAGAUAAUGACGGUACCGUAGAAUAAGCCCGGCUAACUUCGCGCCAGCAGCCGC